UUGGGAAUUUUGCACAAUGGACGAAAGUCUGAUGCAGCGACGCCGCGUGGGGGAUGAAGGUUUUCGGAUUGUAAACCCCUUUUGCGAGGGAAUAAUUUGUGAAUGUACCUCGCGAAUAAGCACCGGCUAACUCCGUGCCAGCAGCCGCGGUAAUACGGAGGGUGCAAACGUUGUCCGGAAUCACUGGGCGUAAAGCGCAUGUAGGUGGUUUAGUAAGUGGAAGAUUAAAGACCGAUGCUUAACAUCGGACCGGUUUUCCAUACUGCUAAGCUUGAGUAUGGCAGGGGUAAGCGGAACUUUAGGUGUAGGAGUGAAAUCCGUAGAUAUCUAAAGGAACACCAAUGGCGAAGGCAGCUUACUGGGCCAUUACUGACACUGAGAUGCGAAAGUGUGGGGAGCAAACGGGAUUAGAUACCCCUGUAGUCC
RNAcentral lists this ribosomal RNA (426 nucleotides) under uncultured bacterium. RNAcentral's name for it is "bacterial SSU rRNA". It matches the Rfam family "Bacterial small subunit ribosomal RNA", at positions 355 to 796 of the family's 1533-position model. The record is from RNAcentral.